CCUGACUCUGGGUUACUUAGACUCUCCUGACUUAGGCUCCAAAUGUUCCCUCUCGAUUCUCUCUCUUUUCCCUCCCUCUUCUCUAACAGCAGCAGGAGUGCAAGGUACAGGAAUCUGUGAGGAUGAAAGGAGAGAGAAAUGGGAAGUGCCCAGGAAUGGGAAGUGCCCAAACCACUUACACAACCCAGUCAGAAUUCUUUAGAAGGACCUGAGCCCUAGGACCAUGCCUCAGGACUACCUGGCAUGAUGACUCCUUGCUGUCCCAGUCCACCUGGCCGUGCUGCUGCUCCAGUUUCAACUGUUCUGCCUGCGGCUAUGGAACCCUGACCUGUUCACCGGACGUGCUUGUUGCACCCUCGACAACUACUAUGAUUAUUAUUAUUUGACCAUGCUGGUCAUUUAUGAACAUUUUAACAUCUUGACCAUGUUCUGUUAUAAUAUCCACCCGGCACAGCCAGAAGAGGACUGGCCACCCCUCAUAGCCUGGUUCCUCUCUAGGUUUCUUCCUACGUUUUUGGCCUUUCUAGGGAGUUUUUCCUAGCCACCGUGCUUCUUUCACAUGCAUUGCUUGCUGUUUGGGGUUUUAGGCUGGGUUUCUGUACAGCACUUUAUCAGCUGAUGUACGAAGGGC
Molecule: long non-coding RNA, 631 nt
Filed under: Salmo salar (Atlantic salmon)
Lineage: Eukaryota; Metazoa; Chordata; Actinopteri; Salmoniformes; Salmonidae
Description: lncRNA (ENSSSAG00000100099.1)
Source: RNAcentral